UUUCACCCGAGAAUCAAAAUAACUCCCCACUCCUUAGUCCCCCUCAACUGUCUUCUUCUCUUUUUCUUCGACCAUGUAUCUCAGAAAAACAAACACCGAUACUUUAAACCUCUCUAGACGUAAAAUAAAUGUUGCAGGUUCGAAUUGAAGAAAUCAAACAAUUUCUUUAUUUUGCUGGAAUGCUUCAUUGACCUAUACCUCGGGUUGUAUGUCCGACAAGAUGGAAAUAAAAUUUUCUACUUGUUCCUUUAAUUUUCUGAGCGCGUGAUCUGUGUUUGAGGAAAUUACAAACUGAAAUUCGGAUUAUAUUUUGUGGUAAAUCAAUCCAGUUCAUUACAUAGAACAAGGACAAAGAAUUCUGAUUGUGUUAAUCCAUGAGUUAUUGGGAUUCGGAUGGAGCGAUAAACCAUUUAUCAAGGAUGAUGCAAUGGUAUUAGAAAGGGUUGAAUGCAUUCCUAGAUCACGCCUACAUCCAAGGUAAUCUCAGGUGGCAGAUGAUCAGAAGCCUGGGAGGAUGAGCAUAAUAACCACAGGCCGAUGAGAUGGAGCUGGUCUUAUAUGUUGGUGGCGACAUAGAGAGAUUAAACCCCGAGGAAGAACAAUGGGAAUUAGUUAAAGAGCUUAGAGUUCCAAAAAUACAAUCCUGAUUCUCAAGGCUCUCUAAAUUUCUUGUACACAUAUCAACACCAGACUUGCAGUUGCAGGAACAAUUGGAGGCAUGGACCCGGAGUAUAUUAUACGAGGAACAUCCACUAACAAAAUGAUGUAUACAACUUCGAAGUGGUGGCCCUAGAGCUUAUGACUGGAAACGACAGAUUGCAGUGGAAAAUGAAGCUUGAAGCUACUUAUAGAUUCAGUAAGUUCAUACUCCUUGGCGUCGGUACUGAUGUGACGAAUUACUUGCCAAAUCUCCAGUGAGCUGAUGCUCAAGGCUCUCUAAUUUCAUUAAAUUUAUGUUAGGCGAAAAAGAAUUUCACUCGAUAAAUCUGAAGGGGCAAUAACUAAGUAUUAUUUGCGGUGAAAUUCAGGAAAAUACCCUUAAAGCUGCUGGGAGGUCUAGUGGUGGCAGUAGAAAAUCCUAGGAUGCACCUCUUGACUAUAAAGUAAAUGAAGCAAGUACGUAUGGAGAACUCGGGCAAACGCAAUCUUGAUUAAAGUAAAUUUACCCACGUAAUCUUGAUUAAAUAAAUUUACCCCUAAAGUUGUUCCUUUUCUAGUACCUCUUGUCAAUCAUGAUUUUGUUUCGUUUCAAUAUCAAGAAUUGGCGAUUGUAUAAUUUGACUUAGUAGCUUACUUGUGUUUUAAAUUUAUGUAUUUUAUUUUCAUUAAUAAAUGAAUGAAAGCUUUUAAUAUUU
Long non-coding RNA from Papaver somniferum (opium poppy), 1355 nucleotides. RefSeq lists it as uncharacterized. The record is from RefSeq and is a predicted model, not a curated record. NCBI's taxonomy places the organism in Eukaryota, Viridiplantae, Streptophyta, Magnoliopsida, Ranunculales, Papaveraceae. The transcript is spliced from 8 exons.